GGAGGAUAUUGCUAAAUGGUCGGCAACUAGUCUUGAAAACUAGGGUGGUCCUUGGGCUAGAGGUUCGAGUCCUCUAUCCUCCG
RNAcentral lists this transfer RNA (83 nucleotides) under Phormidium sp. FACHB-592. RNAcentral's name for it is "tRNA-Ser". It matches the Rfam family "tRNA". From Rfam's summary of the family: Transfer RNA (tRNA) molecules are approximately 80 nucleotides in length. Their secondary structure includes four short double-helical elements and three loops (D, anti-codon, and T loops). RNAcentral also lists the same sequence under 1 other name. Lineage: Bacteria; Bacillati; Cyanobacteriota; Cyanophyceae; Oscillatoriales; Oscillatoriaceae. The record is from RNAcentral.